UAUGGCGACCGGCGCACGGUGAGUAACACGUAUCCAACCUGCCGAUGACUCGGGGAUAGCCUUUCGAAAGAAAGAUUAAUACCCGAUGGCAUAGUUCUUCCGCAUGGUAGAACUAUUAAAGAAUUUCGGUCAUCGAUGGAGAUGCGUUCCAUUAGGUUGUUGGCGGGGUAACGGCCCACCAAGACUACGAUGGAUAGGGGUUCUGAGAGGAAGGUCCCCCACAUUGGAACUGAGACACGGUCCAAACUCCUACGGGAGGCAGCAUG
This 266-nucleotide ribosomal RNA is filed under the name uncultured bacterium. Its description in RNAcentral is "partial 16S ribosomal RNA". It matches the Rfam family "Bacterial small subunit ribosomal RNA", at positions 87 to 353 of the family's 1533-position model. The record is from RNAcentral.